This 73-nucleotide transfer RNA is filed under the name Salmo salar (Atlantic salmon). It matches the Rfam family "tRNA". From Rfam's summary of the family: Transfer RNA (tRNA) molecules are approximately 80 nucleotides in length. Their secondary structure includes four short double-helical elements and three loops (D, anti-codon, and T loops). The record is from Rfam by way of RNAcentral. Lineage: Eukaryota; Metazoa; Chordata; Actinopteri; Salmoniformes; Salmonidae.
UUUCCUGUGGCUCAGUUGGUAGAGCAUGGUGUUUGCAACGCCAGGGUUGUGGGUUCGGUUCCCACGGGGGACA